RNAcentral lists this ribosomal RNA (449 nucleotides) under uncultured bacterium. Its description in RNAcentral is "partial 16S ribosomal RNA". It matches the Rfam family "Bacterial small subunit ribosomal RNA", at positions 354 to 796 of the family's 1533-position model. The record is from RNAcentral.
GUGGGGAAUAUUGGACAAUGGGGGCAACCCUGAUGGAGCGACGCCGCGUGGAGGAUAAGGUCUUCGGAUUGUAAACUCCUGUCAUGCGUGAACAAGGUUGCUUGGUUAAUACCUGGGCAAAUUGAUGGUAACGCAAGAGGAAGAGACGGCUAACUCUGUGCCAGCAGCCGCGGUAAUACAGAGGUCUCAAGCGUUGUUCGGAAUCACUGGGCGUAAAGGGUGCGUAGGUGGCGUGGUAAGUCAGAUGUGAAAGCCCGGGUCUCAACCUCGGAACUGCAUCCGAUACUGCCAUGCUAGAGUACUGGAGAGGUGACUAGAAUUCUCGGUGUAGCAGUGAAAUGCGUAGAUAUCGAGAGGAAUACCAAAGGCGUAGGCAGGUCACUGGACAGUUACUGACACUGAGGCACGAAGGCCAGGGGAGCGAACGGGAUUAGAUACCCCCGUAGUCC